Long non-coding RNA from Anguilla rostrata (American eel), 6095 nucleotides. RefSeq lists it as uncharacterized. NCBI's taxonomy places the organism in Eukaryota, Metazoa, Chordata, Actinopteri, Anguilliformes, Anguillidae. The record is from RefSeq and is a predicted model, not a curated record. The transcript has 3 exons.
GAGAGGGAGCAGCUCCAGAGACGCUGCGCGGCGGAUCAGAUAAAAGGCUGAUCACUUAAGCAGCGCUCUCUGCGGGUAAUUCUCCCUGCCUAAAGAGUUCCUGGUGUCAGCAUAUUGCUCGCCUGCCGUAGAGCGCCGUCGAGAGAGAGCUAUAAAACUAUCCACCAGAAUAGAAGCAUCAACAUUUUUCCAGUGGCGUUUGGGCUGGCGGAGGGGGAGCGGGAACAGCUGGCUGAGGAGAGGGGCUCUCGUCUUGUGGUGCAGGAUUUCAUUACUCCUAAUUUCCAGCAAGUUACAGUUCAGGACAUCAUGAAAAUGAGGCAGUGCAAAGGAUACAUUCAGAACUGCCUGGAUGACUUGCAGCCGCAAGGAAAGAUGGACGGGAAGGAGAUAAAACAUUUCCAACUUGUGAGGAAGCUGUGAAGAUGAUUAAUAUAGUGUAACACUACGUUAGCAGUACAGUGUCUCUAGCAUUCCGGUGAUAUUUGGAUGUACCUGACAUAAAACAAUAGGCUGUGCUGCCAUGAGAAGCAAGGUGAGACGUGAGAUGUUCUAAUUGGAAACUGUUAAAAUUGUUCUGCGCCUAUUCUGCAAAUCCACUCUCAUUCCUUACCCCCACAGCGACUAAAGAUACACUAGCCCACUCACAUAUCCUCUCCUUUGACUCUGGUGGCAGAUAUAUUUUAAACAUACACUGACUGACUCCCGGUCCCUGCGUGUUUUGUAUUCUCUCUGAGAGGAGAGACCCUCAGGGCCUGACUCAAGGGGUGAUUUCACUGAGGUGCUUAUGUUAAAGCAAGGAUAUUUUAAAAAAUAUAAUAGAUAUAUAUUUUUGCUUUGCUAUAACUUAAACAACAUUUUUUUGAUUUUUUUUUUUGAGUCAUUAAAAAUGAACAAAUUCUCUUAAAAAUAGAACUGUUGCCAGAAAGUGACUAAUGUCUUAAAUGUGUCAAUUUAGAGAUUUCUCUUAAUCAAUGCCAGAACAUGAAUGUUUGAACACUGACAUUCUGGUGAGGGGCUGGGAAACUAAAAUGGCAUGCUGUUAUUUGCAGUGCAGAGAUUUGUACUUAAACUAUAUUUUUCUCCAUCUCGGAAUCACUAAACGUGCACCCACAGCCAUGGAAGGAGCUCUGUUGCACAGAAUGCGAGCCAGUUCCACAUUGCAGGCCACACAGCACAACAAAAGAAGGGUUCACAAAACAGCAAGCACUAAUACUACAAGAGGAAGGCCCCCCCAGCCCUGGGAAGAAGCCAUCUGUGGCUCAGGGUUUCGUUUAACAAAAGCAGUUUGUGAGCAUUUUCACUCGCAGAUUGCGAUAUCUUGUCAAAAAUGCAUUUCUUUUUCUAAGGAUAGACUGCUCUGCACAACCAGUAGCUUUCUCGGGGUUGUCGGACUAUGGGGUGAAAAACACUAAGCAAAGCCUCUUUCAGUGUCCAGAUGUGCCUGUAAAGUAAUGGCAGUUUUAUACAUUGUAAAUGCUCAGUUUCCCGAGCACCAAUACAGGCGCCAAGUGAAACCUGAACACACAGUUUGGUCUCCCAAAGGUCCUUGGUGCAAUUUGUAGUUAAGACAUUCCAAUCACACAGUAAAAUUUCCAGCGAUAAUUCAACUCUAACAGAUAACAUUGGUCUCUGUGUACAAAAGGGCACCACUUGAAAAACAUUCAAGGCGUAUGUGAGGCCAAUUAGGCUAUAGAGUAUUACUGUAGAUGAUGUGGUUAAAUACCAUGGGAGCACACACCACAGCAACAUUUGGAGUAACUGUGAUUUGUGUCUAACAUUACUAUAAAGAAAAGGCCACAUUAGAUCUACGGGGAGACCUAAUAAUUUAAAUAAAAUUUUAAAUUAAUUGUUAAAAUUUCAUUUUUAUAUUACGACAUAGGCCUACAAUUUCAAUUCAAUCUGACCACAAGUCAAAUUUAUCCAUUCCUCAGAUACCCCUUAAAACUCCUUAGCUCCUGACAACAGUGGCCAGGCCACACAGAGCAGAGGAGCACCACGAUGUUGCACAAAUAAAUAAGUUUGACACAAAACCAAAACGAGGCAGGAGGAUAAGAACGAUAGCAGAUUUACGCACUCUGACGCACUUUGCGACCUGCGUUUGUGGCUUGCAAUUGUGAAACACUCUGAAAAGAGCAGGAGAAAUCUAUCACAUCUCGCAGAGCUUAGCUUGCAUGUCACAGCCUUCCUGAAGCAAGCCACUGCUUUGCAGACCCCCAGUAGUAUUCAAGUAGUAACAUAACCCAGGCUCAGACCUGGGAUGCCAAAGCGAGAGGCCCAGCAUAAGCUUAUGACAGGUUUCCGUAUGAGACCUCAGAAGCCCCAUACAUUUGUGCCUUUUCUAUAAGGUGUAAAAGUUAUAUAUCCUGCUAUGACACUUAUAGGUUUAAAAUAAACCAUAAUUUUUUUGUUCGUAUGCCCUUUGAAUUAUGACUGAAGCCUAACGUGGGAUUCUUUCUCAGCACGUUCCUUGAAUGCGCAUGUUAUUUACAAUUGCACAUCAAAAAAAAGGUAGGCAUUUACAAUUUGGAAAUAUUGCGGCUGAUAUCAAUAACCGAUAUUUGUCAGAUCGUAUUGGCCGAUGCUGAUGCCAGUACCUCCCUGUUGUACAUUAUAGCGCAAAUGCACACUGCAAUUAAACUUCCACAUUCAUGGAAGGGCCAGAUGAGAACAGACAUCAACUUAUAAAGGAAAAUGUCAGAAAUUGUGUUUGUUGAAUGACAUGUUUCAACUUGCGAUUGAGCUGCAAGUAUUAGUCUAGAGAGCUACUGAGUCUUCGUAAAGCUUUGCCUGGUACUUUGACUAGUGAAAAUGAUCACGUAUUAAAAAUAUAUAUUAAAGAGGUACAGAUGGCUCCAGCCUCUGUCACACAUGCAUCUUAACUCGUAAAUGUUCCGGCAAUCUUUCGUGUCGGCGUCAUGUGUGAAGAGGAGCCGGAGUCGAUUUUCUGUGUAAGACGUUUGUCCAAUUUGCCGGGUCAGGACCUAGUGAGAUUUAUGGAAAUCUUACUCCAUGACUCUAAGAUGAAAAAAAGCAGCAACAUUCCCACAUAGCACGCAAAAGGUUAGAACAUUCUUAUACAAGACCUCUUGGUUCUGGCACAAUUUUUUAAAUAAAUAUUUUCCUAAAUCUGUCCUCUCAACAAUUCUUACACCAAUAUGAGUCAUCACACAUAGAAGAUAUUGGAGCUGCAUUGUAUGAUUUUGUGAGGGAAAUUUUAACAUUUAUUUUAGGAAUGGAAUAAACAAUAUCACACUCCUUGCUUGGCAUGGCUUUGUCUAUUUGUAAGAAUAGCAUUACAAAACUGUCAUCAUUGCCUCACAAAUUUCUAAUGCACUAUGCAAUACUUCUCCCGGGCAAAUAAUUGUGCCAGGCUCUUCCAGUUUUAAGUCAUUUUUUGUAGCCAGCUGCCUAGCACGACAUAUCAUUGGCAGAUAUAGCCUGCUAUUUAACUUGGCUAAGUAUUUUUAUUGAAUUUUACCAAAAACAACUCCACAUGUAAGUAUUGAUUUUUAGCUGAUAAACCAAGCUAUUUGGGAUCAUAUAACCAAGCUAUAUUGGCUAAAGAAAUUACCAUAAGUUAUUUUAAUACCAUCACUCUUUAACUGGGUUGUGUUGGUAGGAUUGAUAUCUCUGCAAAACUGUUAUUCAGUGGAAUAUCUGGCUGUUUUAAAGACAGAUUAACGUAGCCAGUGGCGCUGCCAGGGAUUUUUGGCAUCUCGCUUUGGGCCCCACUUCCCCAGAUCACCCCAUCCCUGCACAAGCACAGCACAAUUGUUUUGAGGGCCCCUGUCAGUCAGGGUCCUUGGAAUUGUCCUAACUUCCAUCCCUAUAUGGCACCCCUGAACGUAACAUUAAUAUUUGUCACACAUAGCUUCAGAGGGUAGCCAUUUAGCUUUGCCUAAUCUAUCUGACAUGCCAUGUGUUAACAGACACCACAGGGAAUUUUUCCAUAUAGGACACCUAUGUGUGAAUGGGGAAAAGCACUACCUAACCCGGGAUAAUUGAACCCGGGAAUGUUGGGGGUUCCAUGUGUGAAAGGGGCUUAUGAUAAUGCUACUUUUUGACAAUUACUUUUUUGCUUAAUUUAGAAUAUCAACAGCGCGUCAAUGCGUCACCUCUCUGGAGCAGGUAUGUUGUGUCAUCAUGGCAGCCAUAAUCUCAGCAGCUUGCCAAUGCGAAUAAGUCUGUUUUAAGCUAUUAUCAGCUGAUACCAAUGUGACCCUCAUAUUGCUGUGCAUCCAUAUAAACGGAGACAGAAAAGGCACUGCUGCUGUUCAUCUACAUCAAUUCACAAACAAACAAUAAUUCUGCCUAAAUUGGUAACAAUUAAUAACAAAUAAACAAUAUUCUAGAGUAGCCUGACAAUAAUAAGUGAAAUUGAAAUGUGUUUGGAUCUGCUUGGCUUAGGAACUGAAGUGUUUCAUAUUGAGUUAUCAGCUGCAGAAACACUUUAAUGAAUUAAGUUACCAGGCCACAUUCUCUAUGCAUCUCUGGUUCAGCCUCCACUGCAGUACACUUCUAGAUUAACUUCUUAAAUUGACACCUCCACAUGAAAACAGUUCAUUAAGGAUCUCCACACAUUCUCACAUGGUAAGAAAAGCAUUAAUUAUGGUGAAUCUCUGGAAAAAUAAAAACUGCAAUUUUAAUCUUCUGCAUGUAAGCAUGCACGCACGUACACACACACACACAUUUUUGUAAUAUUUCGCAAAGUAAUGCAAUAUAGCAGAAUUCAAACCUGCAUUGCAUUGUUUAUUUAUGAGUUAUAUGGCAUGGUGUGCAAACAAAAUAAUCUUGAUUCCUCAUUCCUCAACAGCACAAUAAAAACACGCAAUUCCGCUUGCUUUUGGCCACAUGAGCAUCAUCACGGGCUGAGACUGCAAUUCCCCAGACUGGGGGCCACGAUACACCUGGCGGUAGAAUAAACAUGGCAAAUACCCAGCCUGUUAGCUUUAGCUACAGAUUUAAACAGUCCCUGUAAACUUGGGCUAUGCCAGCACUUACUGUAUCACAAUCACAAAAUAAUAGAGCUAACAGCUUGCUAGUACUACAUUCCUGGGCAUGCCUACCCUCAGCACAGCUCUUUCCCCAUCUACAAGUUCUGUCAUCACCAAAGUUACCUUCAAACCCAUACAACUAUUACCCUCAAAGAACUACCCAGUGCUACAGCGGUCCUCACGAGGCUAGUGAUAAAACGUAGUCUGAUAUCAACUGUUUCUCACAGGUUCUACUACUUCCAUUCGGAACCAGGUUUGGCAGUUUUUGUAAGCACAAAAUCAUUUGCCUCUCCCAUCCUAUUAGAGAAAAUGGAUGUGAAGCAAAAUCUGCACCACUUUAGAAAUUGACUCGAAGCCUGGAAUGACAAAUAUAUAUUAUUUUCUUUUAAAAAUGUGUGUUAUGAAUUAUUUGUUAGGCAUUAUCACAUUGACAGUCCAUCAUCAAGAUAUUAACACAGAUAUUGUGUAAUAUAUGUGCAUUUAAAUUUUUGAACUCAAAUGCAAAGUUAUUUUAGGUGAAGACAAAAAGAGACAAAUACAAAUAUAGAGAAUAUUAACAAUCACAGAGAGAUACACGAAUAGCAGGAAUGCUAUUCUAGACGUCUGCUAUUACUGUCACGCUGCCAACCCAUCAUCCAUCAAGAUGUCACUCUGUAUCUGUGGACCCUGAGGAGAGGGGGCGGGGGAGGGGGACUCACACACUAUUGAGUUUUAACACUUCUGUGCAUUCGUUUGACUGUGCCCUAUAUCUGGACUCUCACUCACCUGCUCCAGGAACAAACACACUCUUCCUCAAACACACACACACACACACACACACGCACAUGCACGUACAUCAGCGCACAUUUGCACAAACUAACACUAACUGAAAAAAUGGAAUGCUGCGUCUUUAUAUGCAGGUUUACUAUAGUAUUACUACCACCUGGUGCCCCAUCCCCAGAAGUAAGACUGAAGAGGCAAACAUAAUCUCUAGAUUUUAUGUGUAUUUGAAAAAGAGACCAAAAACAGAAAACACAUAACUGAGAAGUAAACUAAAAAAGAAAACCUUGCCAUUUCUGCCAUGCAUUGAACAUAUAAAGCAAAAAAGUGAGAAAUUAA